Molecule: RNA transcript, 1844 nt
Organism: Raphanus sativus (radish)
Lineage: Eukaryota; Viridiplantae; Streptophyta; Magnoliopsida; Brassicales; Brassicaceae
Gene name: co-chaperone protein p23-1-like
Exons: 9
Source: RefSeq, a predicted model, not a curated record
GCUUUGUCGUUUCCUCUUCUUCAAACAUCGAUCAAUUGACACAGAACUCCAUCUCUAUGCAAUCAAAUCCUUCUGAAAUCUCAUUUAUUUUUAGCGAUUAAAGAGAGAGUCUCUCUCUCUUCCGAUCAAAACAAGUAAACGAAAAAUCUAAUCACCGUUUGAGUUCUUUCUCUCUUCUCUAGGGUUCUUCUUCUUCUACAAGCUUCAUCCACUAAACAUGAGUGAUUGAUUCUGAUGUGUACAGUCAUCAUCCUGGAGUGAAAUGGGCAGAGACCACUGACAAGAUUUUCCUCACCGUAGUGUUGGCUGAUUCCAAGGAGACUAAAGUUAAUCUUCUCCCUGAAGUUGUCUUCGAUUUCUCUGCAAAAGCUGGUCCUGAAAACCACGUUUAUGAGCUUAAACUCGAACUUCAAAACAAAGUCAAUGUUGAGGAAAGCAAAAUCAACAUUGGAUUGAGAAGCAUAUUCUGCAUAAUUGAGAAAAUAGAGCCUGAAACGUGGGACAAGCUAAUCCUUCGAAAGGGCCACACUAUGUCAAGAUUGAUUGGGAGGCUGUACUGCUUACAAUCAAGGGACCGGACGAGGAACGUCUGUAUUAGAAAUGGUUGCUGCUUUUAAAAAAGCUUGUGGCAAGAAAAUACCUAUCAAGCUUUGUCCGAGAAGACCAGGAGAUGCAACUGCAGUUUAUACUUCAACAGAGAGAGCUGAGAAAGAACUUGGCUGCAAAUCUUACUAUCAGUCUUGCAAGACUUACCGGAAAAUAUGUGAAGCUUCAAGAAUAGACAGCCACAAACUUAUACCGAUGUGUUUCAGGGAUAAAAGAGAGAAAGAGCAACAACGUCUAUGUAAUAUCCAAAGAGAUGAUGAUGCUGUAACAUCACAAGAACCCACUACUCUUAAUACUGGCGAUGCCUUACGUUCACGGUAGAUCAUGGAGUGUAUGCGUGAUUACAAGAGCAAGGAAGAGACUGUAAAAUAUCUGUUGGAUCAAUAUCGAAUCACACAUGAAUCGACCAACACAUGAAACUAAAAAGCCUUUGGUCUUGUGCCUUUUCAUUCAAAGGAAGACCAUAGUGAGCUACUCCGUUGUGUGGUGGUUGCGUACGGCAUGGUCAAACGGCUCAAAAGUCUCAUGGUAAGGACAUACCUACUCUUCAUAUGUUUUGAUGUGACAUGGUGUUGGAUUGGGUGGAGCAAGAAGCACAAGUGGCAGGGUGUCAGUUUGAGGUCUGAAGCAGAGAGGAAUCUUGGGAGGAAGAGGCAGCGACAGAACAAAGGGAAACGGGGUCUAGACCUCCUAACCAAGCAACUUAAAGCAAGGUGUAUGAUUUUGACCUGAUCGGGUUCACGGAGUCGCAACUACUGUACGAAAUCCAGGAGAAACGAGGCGAAGUCGGAAAUGGUGUAGAAAGAAAAGGAAGAAGUCAAUUCUGGCUUCUGCAAAAUAACUAACUUUCAUUCAGUUUUUAAGAACAUAUAAAUGUUUAAGAGCGUUCAAAGCUGUCUCUAUUCAUUUGUUUCGGUUCUGUAAAAAGCUUAUAUAAAAUAAACGCAGGAGAAGUAUGAGGAUAUUGUUGAAGGAUAGAAGGUGAAGCGGAGUUUGAGAGAAGUGCAUGGGGUGAAUAGACAUGAGAACUUUCAUCCCCAACAAGAAUUAGCAACAAAAGAUAACGUAUUUUAGGAAAAGAUUAGUGCUUGCUUCUUCAGAUUAAGUGGAUUUUGAAUGUUGUUUAAUCUUAGUUUCCUUUACCUUUCGGUUGGUUCAAUGUUUGUUUUCUUUUAUAUUUUGUUUUAAACUUGAUGAGUUUAUAUCACUUUGUUUAUAAUCAGGGUCAGCUGCAAACA